RNAcentral lists this ribosomal RNA (432 nucleotides) under uncultured bacterium. RNAcentral's name for it is "partial 16S ribosomal RNA". It matches the Rfam family "Bacterial small subunit ribosomal RNA", at positions 29 to 506 of the family's 1533-position model. The record is from RNAcentral.
AACGAACGCUGGCGGCAUGCCUAACACAUGCAAGUCGAACGAGACCUUCGGGUCUAGUGGCGCACGGGUGCGUAACGCGUGGGAACCUGCCUUUAGGUUCGGGAUAACUCAGAGAAAUUUGAGCUAAUACCGGAUGAUGUCUUCGGACCAAAGAUUUAUCGCCUUUAGAUGGGCCCGCGUUGGAUUAGCUAGUUGGUGGGGUAAAGGCCUACCAAGGCGACGAUCCAUAGCUGGUCUGAGAGGAUGAUCAGCCACACUGGGACUGAGACACGGCCCAGACUCCUACGGGAGGCAGCAGUGGGGAAUAUUGGACAAUGGGCGAAAGCCUGAUCCAGCAAUGCCGCGUGAGUGAUGAAGGCCUUAGGGUUGUAAAGCUCUUUUACCCGAGAUGAUAAUGACAGUAUCGGGAGAAUAAGCUCCGGCUAACUCCGU